UACGAAGGGUGCAAGCGUUACUCGGAAUUACUGGGCGUAAAGCGUGCGUAGGUGGUGAGUUAAGUCUGUCGUGAAAGCCCCGGGCUCAACCUGGGAAUGGCGAUGGAUACUGGCUCGCUAGAGUGCGGUAGAGGAGAGUGGAAUUCCCGGUGUAGCAGUGAAAUGCGUAGAGAUCGGGAGGAACAUCAGUUGCGAAGGCGGCUCUCGUGACCAGCACUGACACUGAGGCACGAAAGCGUGGGGAGCAAACAGG
Molecule: ribosomal RNA, 253 nt
Filed under: uncultured bacterium
Lineage: Bacteria
Description: partial 16S ribosomal RNA
Rfam family: Bacterial small subunit ribosomal RNA
Source: RNAcentral